GGAGGCGGGCGAGGGGGAAGGGCGGGCGGCGGCCCAAGGGUGCCCGGGUAGCGGUCGCAGUCCGCGUUCAACUCGGAGUACCUCUGCAGCGCCGUCCUCCUUCUCGGAGACCCGCGCCCCUUCUUUGAUAGAAAGGCCGCCCCAUCCCAAGAGUACAAACAUAUUUUCCUCUGGUAUCUUCUGCAGUUGUUAUUUGGUGUGGGCAUGGGUGGGUGUCAUUUUUUGGAAAGUUUUUCCCCAUCUCAAGAUUAUUAAAACCUUAACCUUUACUUUUUUCUAAUGUUUUUAAAGGAUUUUUAAAAUGUCUUUUUUACAUUUGUACUUAUGUUGGAUAUUAAUUUGUUGUCAGGUGUUGGAUAGAAAUGAGCCUUUUUCCCAGUUGUCCUGCCAUUAUCUAUUGAAUCAUUUUCCCACUGAAUUGAAAUGACACUUCUGUUACAUUCUGCAGGCGUGUAUAUACUCGGAAAUGUUUCCAGACAGUUUCUUGCACUGCUCUGACAGUUUUUGCACUGUGUUUUAAUGUUAAGUAUGUUUUAAUAUGUGGCAGAGCAAACGCCCCCUAAUUAUGUCCUCUGACAGUAAUGAUCUAUUUCUUUUGACGUAUUUGGAAUUGUUAAAAAUGUAAAGGUCCAAAAAUUAUAAUUCUCUAAGAGAAAGAAUUGAUCGUGGCACUUAGCGGUGCUCAAUAGAUAGUUAUUAAACGAGGGAAUGUUUGUUGAAAGUCACUGUGCUGUUGAAAAUGUUUACGUUUCCUUGUUGCCAUCAGGAUAAUCUAGUUUCUUAGAAGUGCCUUCAAAGCCCUUUAUGAUCUUAAUAUUGCAUAAUAUUUUGCCAUCCACUCUUGCACAUCGUGCUAUAGCCAUACCAAACUGUUUAAACAUGACACUAAACCCUCUGGGAAAAAUUCAUUCAUUUGAUUAUGUCAAAAAUUUAAAUUUCUGUAUUCAGAAAGAACAAAGGGCUAAAAACAAGAGACAUGAAAAAAUGUGCAACAUGUGUAGGAGACAAAGGAUUAAUGUCCAUAAUAUGUAAAGAAUCUCUGUAAAUAGCAAAAAAAAAAAAAAAAAAAAAAAAAAAGAAAGAAAAGAAAAAAGAAAGAAAGAAACAACAGAAGGAAAAAGGGAAAAUGGUCAAAGGAUAUGCACAGGCAAUUUAUAGAAUACAGGUAACCAAAAAACAAAACAAAACAAAAUUUCUAAUGCUUAACCUCAUAAGUAACCCUAGAAUGCAAAUGAAGACAAAGAUAUUUUUCACAAAAUAGAAGGGAAAAAUAUAAAAAUAUUGAUGAUAAAAGGUGUGAGGGAAAUGCCCAGAAGAAGGACCCAGUUGUAAAAUUGAGGAAGACACUUUGGAUGGCAGUGUGACAGUACCUACCAAAAUGUUAAAUGAGCUCACCUGGCUCAGAAAUUUCAUUCUGGAAUCAGUCCUGCAGAAAUAGUUGCACAGGUACACAAUGUGUAAAAAAGUGUGUAAAAAGAAGUUUUAUUUCCAUAUUAUUUGUAAUUGUGAGAAAUAAGUACGCUUAAAUGUUCACUAGGGAUAUGCUUAAAUCUAUUAUGAUAGAUCCAUACAAUGGAAUACUGUGCUGCCAUAAAAUAGAAUAAGGUAGUUUAUUUUGAAGUUAACAAACAAGGAACAAUUUAGUGAAUAAAGACAUUUAGUGAAUAAAGGAUGCUAGAGAACAAUGGCACGUAGUGUAGUGUGCAUCAUAUUAAGUACGGAUGUGGUUAUAUAUGUUCAUAAAUGCACAGAAAAGGAUGUACACCAAAUGACUGACAAUGAUUUAUUUCAGAGAGGGAAAUCGAAUAGAGAAGAGGGAUUGAAAGUCACUCACAUCUUACUCAGUAUAUUCCCAUGUUUUGAAUACUUAUGGUUUCAUGUAGAAUGUGUAAAAAAAAUUAAAACAUAUAUUACAUGUGUAAGGAAAAAACACUUGAUCUUAGCCGAAAGACCGAGAAGCUAUUUCUUGUGUAAGGAAAAAACAAAACAAAAGCCUCACAUGAACUUAAGAUCUACACAGGGGGGAAAGUGUUUUAUGAUGCAGAAAAUUUUUAAAUUAACUUUUUUUUAAAGCAGCAAAGAAUAAAAGACAAAUGAUAACAAGAAGACUACAUUUGUUAUUUAUGUUAUACCAAGGGAGUUGCUGUUUACUGUCUGUGUUCAGGGAUCCCCAAGACUACCCUUAGGUUCAAUGAUUUGCUAAAAUGACUCACAGAACUCAACAAAACUGUUAUACUUACAGUAGCAUAAGUAUUACAGUGAAAUGAUACACAUUAAAAUCAGCAACAAAAAAUGCAAGUAGAGUCCAGAAGAGACCAGGUACAAGCUUCCAGUUGUCUUCUAUCAAUAAGAGUCAUGCAGCUAGCAUUUACAUCCUCCCAGAAGUGACAUGUAAUAACAUGUAUGCAGUAUUGCCAACCAGGAAAUCUCCUCCAAACCUUGGCAUCCAGAAUAUUUAUCGGAAGUUGUUCAUGUAGGCAUAGCUGACCACCUGUGCUGCUGACCUUCAGUCUCCAGUCUCUCCAGAAGGCAAGCUGAUACCACAUGGCCCAAGGAUCCCACCAUAAAUCCUCUUUUGGCAUGAACUUUCUGACCUGUCCCAAGGCUUCAGUUAUGCCCUCUCAGAAUGUUAUACUUUCCCAAAGAGGGAACAUGGAAGAGAAGGAAAUGAAUGAUGAAUCACAGAUAGUCAGGUCUCAGGAAUCACUGACGUUCCAGGAUGUGGCUGUGGACUUCACACGAGAGGAGUGGGACCAGCUCUACCCUGCUCAGAAGAAUCUUUACCGAGAUGUGAUGCUGGAGAACUACAGGAAUCUGGUCGCACUGGGGCAUCAACUUUAUAAGCCAGAGGUGAUCUCUCAGUUGGAGCAGGAGGAGCAAUGGAUGAUGGAAAGAGGCAGCUCAGGGGACAUUCGUGCAGGUGGAGAGAAUAGACCUGAUAUCAGAAAAUCAAUUCCAAACCAGAAUAUUUCUGAUGAAAAUCAAAACCAUGACAUGAUAAUGGAGAGACUAACAGGAGACAGUUUCUGGUACUCCAUCUUAGGAGGACUCUGGGAUUUUGAUUACCAAUUAGAGUUUAACCAAGAAAAUCAGCAGAGACAUUUAGCACAAGUAUCUUUCACCCACAAAAAGAUCACACAGGAGAGAAGCCUUGACUGUAAUAGAUUUGGAGAAAACUAUAAUGUAAACUCAAACCUUAUUAUGCAUCAGAGAAUUCCUUCAAUUAAAAUACCCCUUAAUUCUGACGCACAAGGAAAUAGCAUCAAACAUAAUUCAGACUUGAUUUACUAUCAGGGAGACUAUGUAAGAAAGAAUCCUUAUGAAUAUAAUGAAUGUGGAAAAAUCUUCAAUCAACAUAUUCUUCUUACUAAUCAUAUUCAUACCGAAGAGAAACCCAGUGAAUGUGGGAAAGCCUUCAGCCACAACUCAUCUCUUACUCAACCUCAGAUAGUCCUUACAGGAGAGAAGCCCUAUAAGUGUGAUGAAUGUGGGAAAAGAUUCAGCCAGAGGAUUCAUCUUAUUCAACAUCAGCGAAUUCACACAGGAGAAAAACCUUUUAUAUGCAAUGAAUGUGGGAAAGCCUUCCGUCAACAUUCAUCCUUUACUCAACAUCUGAGAAUUCAUACUGGAGAGAAGCCCUACAAAUGUAAUCAAUGUGGUAAAGCCUUUAGCCGUAUCACAUCCCUUACUGAACAUCAUAGACUUCAUACCGGAGAGAAACCUUAUGAAUGUAGUUUUUGUGGGAAAGCCUUCAGCCAGAGGACACAUCUUAAUCAGCAUGAGAGAACUCAUACAGGAGAGAAACCCUAUAAAUGUAAUGAAUGUGAGAAAGCCUUCAGCCAGAGUGCACAUCUUAAUCAACAUAGGAAGAUCCAUACUCGGGAGAAAUUGUGUGAAUAUAAUAAAUGUGAGAAAACCUUAAGUUCCAGUCCUUCUCUUACCCAGCAGCAUAUAACUCACAGGGGGGAAAUCAUAUGAAUAUAUAAAUAUAGGAAAACUUUUGGUCAGAUCUUUUCAUCCCCUUGAAUAUAAAAUUAUUCAUAGAGAAGAGAAAAUUUAUAAAUAAACUUUUAAUGCAUAGAAACCAAAUAAAUUUAGAUCUUAAAUUAGCAUAUUCCCAGAAGAGAUUAUAAAUAGUGAAAAUAAUUUAUUUUAUAAAUAAGGUAAUAUUGAGUCAUGUUCCAAAUAUGAUAUAAAACUUUUUUUAAUGAUCAGAAAUCUUAUAGGCAAUAAUCUGAAAUUAUUCUCUUGUAACUUUUAUGAUAUAAAGUUUUUAAAGUAUGUAAACAUUGAUUACUUAAAGCAGUGGUGUAGUAUAACCAGUCACAUAAACUUGAAAUAAACAUAAAAGCAAUAUUUCUCAAACCAGCCAUUUGUUUCCUUUACAGUUUUUACCAUAUUCAGUGUUUACUUAAUAUUUUUCCUUAAAGGGACUCAGAAUUUUUAGCAUUGCCUAGGAAAUAUUAUUUGCAGAAAUUAUGAGUUUUAUAUGCCAAUUAUAUUUGUUCUAAAAUAAAUAAACAUAUUUAUUUAUCAAAAUACAUAUAUAACUUUGAAAUUAAAAAUAUCCACUUGAUGUACUACCUAAAUCUUCUGUACCUUUAUUUGAAAAACAAUGUGACAGGAUAUUGGCAGUGUUUGUUUUCAUUUCAGCGACUUUUGCGUUUUCAUCAAACAACUUAUAAGAUCAUUUUAAGAAGCAUGUUGGAGGAGACUAAGGGUCAUAGUGAUGAACUUUGAAAAUGAUUCAGAGAAGUCUACUUUUCUAUCCUGUUGCUCUAGUUUUAAAAUUCCCUCUAGCAAACAUAGGCUUUUUUAAUUAAAAUGGUUUUUUUUUGUGUGUUUGAAUACAGAGUUUUUUGUUGUUGUUUUGUUUUGUUUUUAUAUAAUGACCAGGGGCUAAGAAUCCCUACCCUUCCCUACACAACUGUGAAAGACAAGAAGUAGAAGACUAUACCAGAUGUUGAGCUGUGGUGCCAUGAUGAAGCUGAAAACCAGGGAAGAGCCUUACUGGCUUAUAUAAAUAACUAAGGAGGAUUUCUCACUGGAAAUGUCACUAGAACAUGGAUCAUCUACUCCUGAUUCAGUGGAUACCAACAGUGCCUGGAGCAGUAUUUUGUAACACUUUGAAAACAAUUGUUAAAUAUAUUAAAAUUAAUAAAGUGAAAGAUUGCUGCUCAACAUUAAAA
RNA transcript from Leopardus geoffroyi (Geoffroy's cat), 5189 nucleotides. It is a transcript of the gene named zinc finger protein 713, with no coding region annotated. The record is from RefSeq and is a predicted model, not a curated record. NCBI's taxonomy places the organism in Eukaryota, Metazoa, Chordata, Mammalia, Carnivora, Felidae. The transcript is spliced from 6 exons.